UACGGAGGGGGCAAGCGUUAUUCGGAAUUAUUGGGCGUAAAGGGCGCGUAGGCGGCUAGAUGUGUCAAAGGUGAAAUCCCUCGGCUCAACUGAGGAACUGCCUUUGAAACUGUCUGGCUUGAGGCCGGGAGAGAGUAGCGGAAUUCCCAGUGUAACGGUGAAAUGCGUAGAUAUUGGGAAGAACACCAGUAGCGAAGGCGGCUACCUGGACCGGUUCUGACGCUGAGGCGCGAAAGCGUGGGUAGCAAACAGG
RNAcentral lists this ribosomal RNA (253 nucleotides) under uncultured bacterium. RNAcentral's name for it is "partial 16S ribosomal RNA". It matches the Rfam family "Bacterial small subunit ribosomal RNA", at positions 524 to 776 of the family's 1533-position model. The record is from RNAcentral.